Stylophora pistillata is the source of this 1098-nucleotide long non-coding RNA. NCBI's taxonomy places the organism in Eukaryota, Metazoa, Cnidaria, Anthozoa, Scleractinia, Pocilloporidae. The record is from RefSeq and is a predicted model, not a curated record.
GCUGACCCGCAGUGAAGUUGGCGUCACCCAUAAAGUCUUCCUCAGGCUUGAUCUAGGAUGCUAAGUCUUGGUCCACCAAAAAACAAAGAGAAGAGUGUGAAAACUGUUUCGGAAACUGGACUGUCUUGUUGUGCUGAAUGGAUCUUCGACUGUGUACAACUGAUGGGUGACUAAUAGUUGACCUGCAAUGGAGUUGGCUUCACCCUUAAAGUCUCUUCCUCAGUCUUGAUCAAGGAUGCUAAGACUUGGUCCACCAAAAAAAAMAAAGAGAAGAGUGUGAAAACUGUUUUGGAAACCAGACUGUCUUGUUGUGCUGAACGGAUCAUGGACUGUGUACAAGAGAUGGGUGACUAAUAUGUGACCUGUAAUGGAGUUGGCUUAACCCUUAAAGUCUCCUGCUCAGUCUUGAUCUUGGAUGCUAAGACUUGGUCCACCAAAAAACAAAGAGAAGAGUGUGAAAACUGUUUCGGAAACUGGACUGUCCUGUUGUGCUGAAUGGAUCUUGGACUGUGUACAAGAGAUGAGUGACUAAUAGUUGACCUGCAAUGGAGUUGGCUUCACCCAAAGAAUCUCUUCCUCAGUCGUGAUCUGGAAUGCUAAAACUUGGUCCACCAAAAAACAAAGAGAAGAGUGUGACAGCUGUUUUAGAAACUGGACUGUCUUGCUGAGCUAAACUGAGCACCAGAAAUGGGAGAGCAGUAUCCCCAGCCCAUGGAAACUAAUUCUAGGCUCAAAGAUCAUGUUGGGUUGUACUGGACAGUGAAUUACAUAAGGUACCUGAUUAAAGUUAAUAAGAAUUGAAGUAGCAAACAUACUUCAAAGCAAUACAUCUGGACCCAAAGGGUUGCCUUACCCUCACGAGGAAGGACAUUUUUGAGGAAGACGAUUCGAAAAGUGAGAUGGAUUUGGUGACAGUUGCUUGCAAGUUCUCAAAUGGAUAUUGGGGGCAAACUGGACGAAGACUACAAGUUGAAAGGUCAAGGAGACCAGGAUAUUUAAUAACCUGGUAUUUCUACCUUCACGAAAGAAGCCAAAGAAAGAUAUCAACCGUGAAAAGAGGUGUUAAAUGAGAGGUUGGAAACUAUCGUCAACUUUGUC